Molecule: long non-coding RNA, 933 nt
Organism: Neoarius graeffei (lesser salmon catfish)
Lineage: Eukaryota; Metazoa; Chordata; Actinopteri; Siluriformes; Ariidae
Exons: 3
Source: RefSeq, a predicted model, not a curated record
GGCUUAUCCACACCACGCUUCCCUCAUGCAGUGUGUGAUGAGAAGCGACGCCUCAACCGAGCAAAGGACUUAAAGGCGUCACGCAGUGGCGAUAAAAGUCGCAUUAUUCUGCACCAGAACGCUUUCGAGAUUCGAAAUAAAUUGACCGUCGAUUUUUCAAAAGCUUCCCGCGGUUGUAAUCGGUCCUUAUUUGAUCAUGCCCAUCACUUGAAAUUUUCCGCGUUCGCAGCGCCCCCUCUCGGUCAAUGGAACAGCUGCGUGACGUCAUACCAGUAACCACUCGGUGCAGUUGCAAUGACGGACACACCAGAAAAUAGGAGCGAUGCUGAGGAAAUUAGCUUUGAUUUUACCGAUACAGAAGAAGAAAAUGGCCCACAAGUAGAGAUUUUGACAGCUGAAUGUCCUGGUGGUAUCCAGCAUUACAGAUUUGAACCUGAGCGCUCAUCUUCAGAAGAAAAUGAGGACAGUUCUGACGACGACAGAAACGAAGACGGGCGACUUGAAGACUUGUUUUGCCCUGCAAUAGAUUGGCAACUUGCCCAGGGUGUACCCACUUCUCAGCCAAAGUCAGCUAGGAUUGGUUCCAGCUUCCUGCAUGACCCUGAUGGAUAAGCAUUCUAAAAAAAUGGAUGGAUGGCUAUUCAUAAACUGACCACGAGGUUUGGCAAAUGCCUCCUUGUGAACAUGCUGCUUAGGGUGGAUUUCCUCAUACAAGUACUGCUCCGUCAACUCAUCCCCGCUGUCUAUCUCCAACUACACACACACACACACACACACACACACACACACACACACACACACACAUAUUUAUUGUUAUUGGUUAUAAAUGAAGUGUAUCUGUUCAUUAUUAUAGUUUUUUUUAGAUGCAUAAGCAUUAAAAGUUUAGCACUGGAAAAAAUCUCACAAAGGAAAAAAGGCCUUGUAUAUUUCUAU